CCUACGGGAGGCAGCAGUGGGGAAUAUUGCACAAUGGGGGGAACCCUGAUGCCGCGACGCCGCGUGGGUGAAGGAGUAUUUCGGUAUGUAAAGCCCUAUCAGCAGGGAAGAACAAUGACGGUACCUGACUAAGAAGCACCGGCUAAAUCCGUGCCAGCAGCCGCGGUAAUACGUAUGGUGCAAGCGUUAUCCGGAUGUACUGGGUGUAAAGGGAGAGCAGGCGGCGCGUUAAGCCUGGUGUGAAAGCCCGCGGCCCAACCGCGGGACUGCAUUGGGAACUGGCGCGCUGGAGUGCAGGAGGGGCAGGCGGAAUUCCUGGUGUAGCGGUGAAAUGCGUAGAUAUCAGGAGGAACACCGGGGGCGAAGGCGGCCUGCUGGACUGCAACUGACGUUGAGGCCCGAAAGCGUGGGGAGCAAACAGGAUUAGAUACCCCUGUAGUC
RNAcentral lists this ribosomal RNA (441 nucleotides) under uncultured bacterium. Its description in RNAcentral is "partial 16S ribosomal RNA". It matches the Rfam family "Bacterial small subunit ribosomal RNA", at positions 338 to 795 of the family's 1533-position model. The record is from RNAcentral.